UGAGCGUUGAAGGGCAAUCUUGCUUUUCACAGCAGCAAGACCGAGCAUAGUCCCGAGGCCGUGGUUCGAUCUCCUCUCUUUUGCUGCUUGUCUUGUGUGACUCGUCCUUGCAGCGGUCGAGGGCCGAGAUUGCGCUUGACUUCCGAUUCUCGUCGGCGACUUCCGCACCAGACUUCUCUGAAGGGUACUCCAUAGGCACCGACCACCGUGUGACCCCGAGUUCUUAAGCGAGUCUCGAAAGGCAAGCCACUUCACAGUAGCAAUCAUGGGUGA
Molecule: long non-coding RNA, 273 nt
Organism: Dermacentor silvarum
Lineage: Eukaryota; Metazoa; Arthropoda; Arachnida; Ixodida; Ixodidae
Exons: 3
Source: RefSeq, a predicted model, not a curated record